Molecule: non-coding RNA, 24 nt
Filed under: Arabidopsis thaliana (thale cress)
Lineage: Eukaryota; Viridiplantae; Streptophyta; Magnoliopsida; Brassicales; Brassicaceae
Source: RNAcentral
GAACAUGAAGGAAGCUCAGGAUCG